AAGCUCGUAGUUGAAUUUCGGGGUUAGUAGGUUGGUCAUGCCUCUGGUAUGUACUGGUCUCACUGAUUCCUCCUUCCUUAUGAACCGUAAUGCCAUUAAUUUGGGUGUUGCGGGGGAAUUUGGACUGUUACUUUGAAAAAAUUGAGUGUUUAAAGCAAGCUAACGCUUGAAUACAUUAGCAUGGAAUAAUGAAAUAGGACGUUCGAUCUUAUUUGUUGUUUCUAGGAUUGACGUAAUGAUUAAUAGGGAUAGUUGGG
Molecule: ribosomal RNA, 257 nt
Filed under: uncultured Glomus
Lineage: Eukaryota; Fungi; Glomeromycota; Glomeromycetes; Glomerales; Glomeraceae
Description: partial 18S ribosomal RNA
Rfam family: Eukaryotic small subunit ribosomal RNA
Source: RNAcentral